Trichomycterus rosablanca is the source of this 1112-nucleotide long non-coding RNA. RefSeq lists it as uncharacterized. Lineage: Eukaryota; Metazoa; Chordata; Actinopteri; Siluriformes; Trichomycteridae. The transcript is spliced from 4 exons. The record is from RefSeq and is a predicted model, not a curated record.
AUUUUAACCCACCGUCUCUGCCUCCACACAGAACUUUAAGCGAAAUACAAAUGUCGUGUUUUCAGUUAUUUUACUCUGAAACAUGAGACUGCCAAAGUACGUGCUUGUGUACUUCUUUAAAGAUGAAAUUCCUGCCACAUGUGUUAUUGAGUCAGUACUUAUUGAAGGACACAAGAAUCUGACAAGAUCUCACCGACGGCUGAACUGUUGUCGUCAACUUACAGUGAGAAAUGAAAACAAAACGUUCGUCAAGCGGCGCCCUGCUAAACCACUGAAGUUCGAUGCAUUUAGCAGACGCUUUCAUCCAAAGCGACUUACAGUACUGUGACAGUAUACAGUCUAAGCAAUUGAGGGUCAAGGGCCUUGCUCAAGGGCCCAACAGUGGCAACCUGGCAGUGCUUUACCCAGGAAGCCUUGCGGCAGUGGUGUCUAAGCUCACCGUGGCCGUGUAUCCCGUUGUUGGGAGUGGGGUGGCUGCGGUGAGGGUUGGGUGGAGAAUGCAGAGACGCCCUGAAUUACUACCUAACUUUAUUUGUUUUUUUCCCCAUUUUCCAUUUAUUCAUUUACAUUAGAAUUUAUAUAUAUUUUUUCCAUUUUCCAUUGAUUAAUUUACAUUAAUUUUUGAUAAUAAUAACAUAUAAUAAAUACAAUAUAUUCUAGCUGAUUUUACCUCAGUUUAUAAUGGAUAGAAAAAUUGAGGGAUUGUUCUUUUUUCAUUUUUCGUUCAUUCAAUUGAAUUUGAUUGAUGAUAAAACAUGUUUUAAAAUAAACAUGUUUGCAUUGUUUUUGCCUUCGUUUAUGUCAGUAUUAUCACAUGAAUUGUUUGAAUUAGACCAUCAUAGCAAAUGUUAUCAGAGUGAUUCAGAUAUUUUUUUUAAUUAAUGGUAAUGUCUGAGGGGGUUGGGGGGUUCAAGACUUUAGUAUAUUAGAAUUGUAUUUGGUGAUAUAUAACUGUAAGUUAGUUAACGGUUAGAAGGUGGCAGUAAAUACUUAAUGACUAUAUAAGAUAAUGAGGGUAGAAUUACUAAGUGAAUGCACAUGUAACGGGUUGGAAGCAUGAAUGUGUGUGUAUGUGUGUGUAUGUUGCAAAUAAAUGUGCAUUGUUAUACGGA